Non-coding RNA from Nothobranchius furzeri (turquoise killifish), 11712 nucleotides. NCBI's taxonomy places the organism in Eukaryota, Metazoa, Chordata, Actinopteri, Cyprinodontiformes, Nothobranchiidae. The record is from RefSeq and is a predicted model, not a curated record.
AGCUUCACCUGUGACUGACGGACACUCCUUAUCUCCUCCUAUUGGUCUAGAGAGGAGGAAAGCCUUUAUUCGGAUUGGUCACUGUAAACUACGUCAUGCUGCUUUCAAUUGAGUGGGAAAAAGUUAAGAACGAUUUUAGAGGAGGUUUUAUUUUUAGAUCGAAUCGGCAUGCUGGCUACAGCUGAAACGUUACCAAUCUUUCGUACAAAUCAGUAUAGAUCAUGUUUGAAAGUUUGGGAAAGCGAACGUGAAUAACUGGAUUGUUUUCUCAACUCCUAAAAAGAGUUUAAGAUAAAUGAAAGAAAAUACAGUGCGAAAAAUCGGAGAGAGAGGCUCCAACAUCAUAAAAGCGUUUCAAACGCAACCCUUCAUCAAUCGGACAAACAUUAGGUGCUUAACGAACGGGUCUGGCCGCACUCGGACAGGUCUGGUUCAUUUUCAGGUCAUUAGGGUUUAUUUUAGCUGCUUUUAUCUCCUCGACUGCAUGAUGAUUGUAGUUUUCUGCCAUUUUUACAUAAUAAUUCCACUUUUCAAUUUAACAUGCAAAUCGUCGUGCACAAGCUGAACGUUUGAACAAAUGCACAACGAUGAUUAAAUGAUCUAAUUAUUAUUUAAAACAAAAUAUUUCAACCGAUCCUCUACGUUGUUGAUGUUUAAUUUAAUCUGACAUGAGAAUGUUGCUGCUCAGCUUGCUGACGACCUGUCGCAGUUGACAUCAGCGCUUAAUCUUUUCUAUCUGAUAAACAUCAGCCUGUGCAGGACAAAUCAGUUUAAUGCUCUCAUUUGUUUCAUUUAGUCUAUUAUUGGUUAUCCAAUGAGACAGACAUGCACAUUAGUAGUGCUAUUCUUGUUUUCUGAGUUUUGUACUUCUAUCAUUUGUCACGAAAAAUCACGAAGAAAACCAAAACGUUCAAGUUGUGUCUGUUUCGUUCAUUUCUAAUGUUCGGGGACUCGAAAACAAUGUUGAACACAGGCUAUUCGUUCUUUUUGAUUUUUGUACAAGAAACCCAAAAAUAUGAAAUCUUUUGGAAAUCACAACGAGGAGAUGUAAUAGUGGUACGGAGCGUAUACUCGGCAGGUGUAAUGAGACUAAACAGAUUUAAGGACGCACAUGAUCCUGAAGGGCAUUGGUUAUUAAUGGUUGUAAAAUACAUUCAUGUGUUUAUUUGAUGUAACAAGGCGGUGAAUAAGAGCUUUAUUAGCAAGAAACGAAAGAACUGGAAAUUGAGACAUCAGAUAGAUUAAAUAAAAUAGGAGAUUUUAAAAAUUCCCCGAAUUGUUACAAUAAUCAUUAUUAUUAUUAUUAUUAACUUACAGCACGUUUUUCUCCAGAUCAAAAAGUACAAAAGUGGAUAUUUAUCAUUGCUUGAUGACAAGCUUAAAAUGUCAGUUCACAGGUGUGUCAUAUGAACGGACCAAUCCAGACAUCAUGUUAUUAUAUAUAAAUAUAUGUGUAUAUAGGAUUUUUUUCCAAAUAGCCCACCCUUAAUCCAGCAUGUCCAAAAUAAGCCUAAAAUCAUAACGUCUUUUAAAGGAGCAAUAUGUAAGAAUUCUACAGUGAAAUAAUCACAGAACAUUCUAAUCAAGUGGGAAAGAAGGUUAUAUUGAAACAGAUUUUCUUCUCAUUCAGCUGUGUGUGUGUGUGUGUGUGAUCCUUUCAAUAAAACUAAAUAGACCAAGUGAAGAAAUAAGAGUUUAUCAACUGUAAGAAUAAACUUUCUGUAUUUUUAGAGAGGACACGUUCAGUUUAAAAUGAAAGCCAAAACUACUAGCAUAGUUUCAAGGCUGCCUGUGAAGAACACUGGACCCACAGUGAAAGAGAGGAAGAGGAACAGAGAUAGAGACGUAAUUUUCAGUUUUUUUUUUUUUUUUUGGGGUCAUUCAGAAGAUCACCUUGGUACUGUGCUUUGGAUCAUUGUCCUGCUGCAUAACCAAAGUGUGAGUGUCCUUAAGGUCCUGUAUGGAUGGCUGGACAUUCUCAUGCAGGAUUUUCUGUCAGAGAGCAAAAUGUCUGAUCUAAUAAAUUAAGGGAAGUUGUUCACAUCUUAAGGAGGCAAAGUACUCCAACCCAUCCUCUGCCCUCAACCAGUAGAAUUUCUAUGGCAUCCCUUGGCCAACAUAGAAAUAUAAUGCCUCCAACAUGUCUUGGUCGAUCCAGAGGCCUCCUGUCAACAGAACAUGCCCACAACAUCUCCCUGGGAGGUGAUCAGUAGACAUUCUAAUCAAAAGCCCAAAACACAUUUGGCUCCUCUCAGUAAAUCGCUGUGAAUCAUUACUCUGGAAAAAAAAAUUUACUAAUCAUUAUCUGUUUUAUUGUUGUGAUUUUUGAGAUUAUAUUAUGAAAUAUUUAUAUUUAUUCCAUCACACCAACAUCACCCAUUUACCUCAGCAUCACACCAAUAGCACCAACAGACACAUUUACCAAAAAUUACUUUAAAAUUCAUGACUAAGUCACAAACGUCUGUUAGACUUUGUGUCCAGCAAAUUUAGGUUUGAUGAGCAGAACUUCUGACAAAUUUAUAUCCAUUAGGUUAAUGCAGGUUCUUCUGACAGAGAUGCACAUCUAUAAGCACUGAUGUAGAUAAAGAAAAAAUGUUUUACUUUCUGAAUUUUUUUUAACCAAAUUAUUCCCAAUAGUAUAAGCAGGAAUUUCCAAUUAUGUGUUUUUUCAGACAUUUUAAGAUCCAAGAUUACAGCCAAUUUUCUUCUAAUCAUACGUUACAUAAAGUAAACAGAAGUAGAUUAAUACCUAAUGAGAUUUUCCACGCUCCCUUAAAAGUUGGUAGUAGUAAUAACAGUAAUAUGAAUAGUAGUAGUUUGUGCAAAAAUAAUUUAAGCCCUCUCUAUUAAAGUGGGUAGGUAAUGAGGGGCAGGAGAGUCAAUUUAGCACUUCAAAAAGGGAAACAAGAAACAAGACAGCAGGGGCAAAAAGAGCAGAUCCAGACAGUGCCCCCUCCUUAAGGGUGGCUCCCAACACUCAGAACAGAAAUGCAAAAAUAAAAAAGGUGCGGGGGCAGGAACUCAGACUGCUGGACUUCCUCUGAGAGAGGCAGGGGGUGUUUCUCAAUGCCAAGGAACCUUGUCUUGAUGUCUUGGUCCUGCCCCGGUUACCUAGGAUAUAUGUCAUCAGGAACCACCAAGGCGUGUUCCAAUGUUAAUGUUCUACCGAGGCGUGUGUUCUCCGCUCAUUAGCCGUUUAGCUAGCUGAGCAUGGAUACACGGGAGGUGUCUUGUAGCCCAGCCUUGGUCAAAAAUUUCUCAGAAUAUGCCGCAGUAUCUUCAAAAGGAUGGCGGAUUAGGAGCUGACAGCUACUUCAGGGGAAAAUUUCAAGUUUAAAUGCAAGUAAACUAAUUGUAGCUAUCGGGCUGAUAUCUAAAAUGUUGUUUUAGAUCCAAAGCAGUUAGCUAUGGUUGGUUAGUUGCUUAGUCAUUGCAGCUUUGGUGGCUAGGAGGGAGUAACUCACUAACAUAUUUAAUUUAACAAAUAUAAACACAAUUUAAAUAGUAAAAGGCUCGGUAUAUAUUUAUAUUGAAACUUAUACAGAUAAAUUAUAAUGUUAUCUCCCGUGUCACCUGCCAUUACGUGACUGCCGCGGUCACAUGAUGCUAAUCUGCUCCACGUUUUCUUUGAUCAAGGAAGGACAGUGUCCUCAUAAGCAUGACGCAAGCAAGACAUCGCCUUGCGAGGCCAGAGACACCUUGACAUUGAGAAACACCCCCAAUCUCUUCACGUGGUACAGCUGGGGUCUCAGGACCGGGCAGCAUGGCUGGGGCCUCUGAAGAUGACUGAGGCUUUUUACAAUGGCUGGAUUUUGGCGUGGAUCUCCAGGUGCAUCGGCAUUUGCCCAGUGUGACCUGCAGGUGCUUGGUAUUGAUCUCUGGGGGGAGCGACAGGUGCUCGGCAGGAACCCUUCAGUCGGCACAGCUGGAGCCUCAGGACAGGAAGACACGGCUAGGGCUUUUGAAGAUAGCUGGAGCUCAGUGUGGAGCUCAGGACGUGGUGGCAGCAGGUGCUCAGCAUGGACCUCUGGGUGCAGCUGAAGGUGCUCGGCAUGGACCUCUAGGUGCAGCUGCAGGUGAUCGGCAUGGACCUCUAGGUGCAGCUGCAGGUGCUCAGCGUGGAUCUCUGGGUGCAGCGGCAGGUGCACGGACUUUGUGAGCAGCAGAUAUGCUGAGAGGCAUGCUGACUAUCCAGGAAUACAUAGGAUACGUUAGAAUGUGCUGUCUCGUUUAUUUGUCAAUGCUUAUCAGAAAAACUAAAACAUACACCAACCUGCUCACCUCUGGAUGCUUUGUGGUCAGAUCCUUCUGUCAAGAAAAAAUGUUGUUUGAUUUGGACCCACAUGCAGGGGACCAGGCACAGGAAGCAGUCUGGCAGGUAAAAAGAAUUGUUUAUUAGAAUAAUGGCAGGUAGGCUGACACGUCGGGAAGCCAGGACGAGGAUCUGGCACAGACAAGCACAAACAGAGGCUUUAAAUGCACAGGGGCAAUCAGGGAAACAAGGGACAGGUGAGUAGAAUGAACACUUAAAAAGGUGAGACGAGACACAAGACAGCAGGGCCAUGAGAACAAUAUGUACCAUACUGAAAGAUGGUAAAUUGCUGACAUUCCCAGAGCUGGGAGAAUAGUUCCAGUUGGAAAAUAUACAUAUCUUUCCAUAUUUGCAGAUUAGGGAUUAUUUUACAAGAGAAAUACAAGCCCCCAAAUUUCAAGGAGUCUUCUUGGUAUGGUUAUAAAAACAUACAAGGGAACACAAUUCAAAGAAAUUUCAACAUUUUAUAAGACUAUAAGAGAAGCUAUACUGAUAUCAAGCAUGUAUUUCAAAAAUAAAUGUGAAAAAGAAAUCAAAACUGAUUUAUCACUUGAAGAAUAGCAAGAUAUAAAGAUAAACAGGGUAUAGCGGUGGGUUCUUAAAGUAAUAAAAAAGCAUCAAAUUCAGUAGAGCCAAAUACAAGGCCUUGAAAAUAUAAGAAAAGGGCAUUAAAUUAUCAAAAAAAUAAAGAUACAAAUUUUGAUUAUUUUGAUGGUUUUAAGAAUUCUGGCCAAGCAACUUACCCCGUUGGAAGAUUUUUUUUACUCAAAACAAGAAGCUUUUGAUAAGAUUUAAAGUGACAUGUGUAUUUUUCCUGGAGAUUAGGGCAGUACAUACCUAAAUCAAUGCAAGAAAGAAGUAUUUUUGGGUUUGGGUGAAACCUUAUCAACGAAUGUCCAUUAGGAUCAAAAAUCCCUGCAAGUGUCGUAGCACACAUGCUUUGCCCAUUUGGAGGAUAAUUUAGUGACACAGAUGGAUCAUUCUUGCUGUGUGGUUGAUUGUUUGGACUGUGCGAUAUUUAUUUUGAAGUUUUAUUGGGAUUUCCUCCUUUAAGGACCGCAAAAUAUGUUAAAUAAAGAGAUGCCUGGAUUCCUGCAGAGCCAGACAGUUUGUGAGGCUAAUUUUGAUCAUGGUAAAACCUUGUGACUAAGUAUUUGUUAAUUAGAGAAGAUGUUUUUAAAAACACGGUCGCUUUACACUCAGCUGAGAAUCAGCUCCUUUAAAUCCGAGACCAUGGUCUUGAACCAGAAAAGGGUAGAAUGCCUUCUCUGGGUCAGGGACGAGGUCCUGCGUCAAGUGGGGGGGUAGUUUGAGUAUCUCUGGGUCUUGUUCAAGUGUAAGGGAAAGAUGGAGCGUGAGAUCAAUAGGCGGAUUGGUGCUGCAUCUGCAAUGAUGCGGGUGUUAUACCGAUCUGUUGUGAUGAAGAGAGAGCUGAGCUGGAAGGCAAAGCUCUUGAUUUACAGGUAGAUUUACAUUUCAACCCUCAACUUGGUCACAAGCUUUGAGCAGUGACCGAAAGAACUAGAUCACGGAUACAAGCGACCAAAAUGAGUUAUAAGCUAGUCCUGCCUUAAGCUCAGUCUGGAGAGUAUGUUUUCGGGUAGAUGGGUCAUGUUAUUGAGUCAGUGUGUGGGUUCACUAGUCUUGGAUUGUGUUCAUUUUUCUUAAAAAAUGGUAAAUUAUUGUGUAGAGGAGGUACAAACUUCAGCAGGUACGGACACAGAGUCCACGGGUUUUCAAAUAAGAGAAUGAAAGGCACAAUCUUCCGUUCCUGGCGUUUUGGGCAAACUGAAAACACGAUUGUUUCUGCUCCGCACUUCAGACCAGAGGAUCACAAUCCCAGUGAUGUGAUGGGAGUUCAAAAUGUCUCCUAUCCUCCAGAGCACCGUGGUGGAGUUUAGAAAAAUACUUGCCAACUCAUUGAGCCCAAAUCAAGUCAAGGAGGUCCGCGCUGAUCUCCAGAAGCAGAUGGGGAGCUUUUAAAAAUUCCUAGCGAGCUGGGGAUGUUGGUUUCUGGGUCGGAACCAGCUCAGAACUGGCACCCCCGACCUCCAAAAGAGGAUGCAGAACUUUUAAAAAUGGCUAGCGUGCCAGGGAAGCUGGUUUCUGGGUCGGAACCAGGUCAGAACCAGCUCGGAACUGGCACCCCUGACCUCCAGAAGAGGAUGCAAAGCUUUUUGAAAUUCCUAGUGAGCCAGAGAAUCUGGUUCCUGGGUCUGAACCGGCUCAGAACUGCCAGUCUUGACAUCCAAAAAAGGAUGUGGAGCUUUAAAAACCCUGGUUUCUGGUUUGGAACCGGGUCAGAACCGACUCAGAACUGGCGCCCCCAACCUCCAAAGAGGAUGCAGAGCUUUUAAAAAUGGCUAGCAUGCCAGGGAAGCUGGUUUCUGAGUCGGAACCGGGUCAGAACCAGCUCAGAACUGGCGCCCCUUACCUCCAGAAGAGAAUUCAAAGCUUUUAAAAAUUCCUAGUGAGCUAGGGUAUCUGAUUCCUGGGUCUGAACUGGCUCAAAACCGGUGCCUCCGACAUCCAGAAGAGGAUGCAGAGCAUUUUUAAAAAUGGCAAGUGGGCCAGGGAAAGUUUCUGUGCCAUGAGCAGGCGUCUCUCCCUCUCUCUAAAGCGCUAACCCAGAUAGCAGACGACUCCGCGCUGGAUCCGGUUUCAGGCCGGCAGAUCCGUAACAGUCACAUCCAUUUUGCCUCUGGCCCCCGAACCAGAGGACGGGACUAACACUCGGCUCAUCUACGGUCUUGGCUCUGGGAAAUGGAAGCGCCUUUUUCCCCUCCUUUCCCUUUUUUUCUCCCAGGAGGAGAAAAGAAGGAGCAGACUGCAGAUAUUGCAUUUAGCAUUGUCUUUGUUUGAAAUGAACUGAUUUUCAAAGUAAAACUUCAUCAAGGUAAGGCAAACUUGGUCAAAACUUGUCAGAAAAAUAUUUACUUUAGCUUUGUUAAUUACUUUAAGGACCUAAUACUGGCAGUUAGUGUUAAAGACUUGAGCUAAGAAAGCUUUAUAAGUGUGUUCAUAGAAAAACUGUUGAUUUUAUGUUUGUGGUAUGGUUAAAAAAAGAAAAACAUACAAGUUGUAAUAAUUAGUUAAAGCCCUAAAAUUAUUAAAUGAACAAAUGUGCCACUUAAAUGCUGCUUAGCAUUAUUUGGGUUUUAGCUUUGUUAGCUUACAGCCUCCUUAUUAAUCUGUCUGUAUUAUAGACAGUGUUAAAACCAAUUAGCUCAAUAAUUUUACAACUCUAUCAAAAUACAGGUUUUUGUCAAAAUUAGUAUAGGUUUAGAUGUCUAAUAAUUUAUGUGUAUCUAAUAGAUUAGUCUAAUUCUAAUCUAUCUGGUUUGUUAAACAUGUAAACUGAGACACGUGUUGUGAAAGAAAAACAUGUAAUAAUAAUAAGCACGAUCACAGAGCAAAGUAAUGUGUAAGCUGGUGGAGACUCUUGUGUGACUCUGUCAAGCACACCAUAAAGGGAGAUGGUGUGUUUAUUUCUACCAGAUCUCUACCAAUAAAUGUGUGUUGGGGUACAAGCCAGGCUUGAUUUUCGGUACGAGAGUGACGGCGUGAGUAAUCCCAACCAUUACACAGUUUAGUACUCUAGUUUUAUAUGGUGUUGGCUAAAAAGUAUUUGGGUUUAAAAAUAUACAAAUAAAAUGUGAGCAAAUCUGGCUUGUGAUCAUUCCAUUUAAUAGUAGGCUACAGGUUAUAAACCUUAAUAAAUGAAGACAGACCACUUUCAUGUUUUUUACAGCUGCAUUGUCUGGAUGGAUACAGUUUAGAAACUAAAUCUCUUACCUGCAACUAAUGUCAUGUCAAUGAAUAUGGUUUUAUAAAUUUCCACAGGUGACUGUCUAAGGUCCAGGGAGAAACUGGAGGCUUCACUGACCUGCCAUACUUCUGAGUUACACACGAAAGAUGAGGAAGAAAUUAAACCAAGGGUAUUUGCAUCUGUACUUUGGACCAUCCUUCUGGACAUUAGGAAAGGGAACGAUGUGCACAUGUGCAGCACGAUCACGUUACACCGACUAACCAAGAAACAGGGAUCAAACUGUCACACGAUGACUGCUGCAUCAUCUGUCUCUAUUCCUGUGUACGACAUGCCUUCCAGUCCUCUUCUCCAUGUCAGGAAGGUGCCCGAUCUGAGAAGCUCUCACUGUGUUCAAGGUACCUUUCUUCAUCAAAGUUUUCACCUAUGAAAACAGUUCCAGAGAUCUCCAUUUUCUCCCCAUUCUACCACUUGGCUUUGAGCUCCCUGCAUCUCCUCUGAACAUCAAGGCGGUGUGUUUAGCUCUAGAUGCAGACUGGGCCAGAUGGGUGCUGGACCAGUUCCUCGCUCAGCUGCACAUACUGGCGUUACUGGAAGAGACGAGGGAGCAACAGAUGCUGCUGCUGUCACUAACCUAGCCCCACAGAUUGUUGUCUGAUGCUCCUGUGGCUGAAAUGCUGCACACCAUCAACACCCCACUGAUGACCAUGUCUGACGGUGAGGAACUGGAGGAGUGGCUUAAAGAUCCCAGCACUGGUGUUGGAGGGCAGAUCGACUGGAAGGAUGUGAAUGGGAAGAAGAGUUCCAAGGAUUUGCAGAGCAUCUGUUUGUUGAUCACAGCAGUCUGGAACAACCAUGCAGCUGAUUCCUGUGCUGGUUCGGUCUUGCUUCUGACCGUGGAGGUGGCUGGAAAGAGAGCAGCCAGAGAGGCCAUUUCUGAGGUAAGUUUUACAGCAUCUACAAAUAAAAUGUGUUGCACUCAUUUUGCACAGCGUUUGAUAACUUGUCUUACUUAUUCAAUAUGAAUGUCUAUAAAUGCAAAUCUGUAUAGUUGGGCUGCUCGAUUAAUUUAAUUUAAAUAAAAAUGAAGAUCCUGGUUUUGAACAAACCCAUCCAUCGAUUUUCCUCCGCUUAUCUGGAGCCGGAUUUCAGGGGUGUGUGUUUCUUUUUCUCUGAUUGUGCUUUGGUGCAAUUUUAUGGUCAAAUAAAUAAAUGAAAUAGAAGUUAAUUUAAAAUAGUCUCCUAAAAACAGAUAUCACAAUUUCAGUGAAGAUAAGUGUGAUCAUCAUUUUUGGCGUAAUCGAGCAGCCUUACUGUAUAUCAUUUAGGAGUUCUUUCACCAAACCAACAAUAAUGAAAACAUAGUUUACUUACUUGGCUCAAAGCUGGACUUUAUUUUUACCAGUUUAACUUUACUUAACAUAAUACUAUGAAAAUGGUAAAUAGCUUGUAUUUGUAUAGUGCCUUGCCUUCUAGGGUUCUACAGGGCCCUUCACAACAUACCUGUCAUUCACCCAUUCACACACACUUUCACACUCUGGUGGUGAUGAGCUACAUUGUGACCACCGCUGUUCUGGGUCGCACUGACAGAAGCAAGUGCUACCAGUCCCUCCAACCACCACCAGCAGUCAAGAGAAGUUAAUGCCUUGAUCAAGGACACAAUGACUGACAGACUGAGCAGGACUCAAUCCCACAAACUUCCAAUUACAAGAUCAUCACUUAACCUUGCGUAACAGUUCACACUUUAUCCUUAUCUAACAAAACACCAAUCCUAAACCUAAGCUCAUAGAAUAAAGUGUAAUAGCAAACUAAUGUAAAAUACACAUAAAAACUUAGAAAAAGAUUUGUUUUUUUUUUUUGUUUUUGGCAGGUGCCUCCUCACUGAAGACUCCUGUUGAAACAACCAGAAUGUUUUCUUUUUUCGGCUUUUUUCAGUUUUUUUGGACUAUUUGUGUGUGUUUAGAAAAAUAAACAUGUUAAAUCAAAUGUUGCAUUUGUCCUUUAAAUUUGAAUUUUAUUGGUGAAUUCUGUUGCUUAAAUAUUUCAAUUCAUUAUUCUGAUUUAAAUUACCAUGGUCAGAUCAUAUCUGGAUCUGCAACGGAGCUGGGCCAGACUCAGGCCAGAUGUGGUGCAGAUUUGUCUUGGAACUUGACCAGAGUAGGACUGGAUGACAAUUUAAGAAUCCACAUUCGGCCCGGUGCCGGUCCAGUUUUGGCCCUGAUUUGGAAAAAUGGAUCCGCACCGGUAUUGGCCCGGUGUGCUAAAGGACACAGGCCCGGGUCCAUUUUGCGGAUCCGGGCCAGAUUUUACGAAGGCUCAGAGGCCAGAUCUGGGCCAAAUGAUUUUUGCUAUCUGGGAAGCUACGUUACGUGAACAGAUAUUAACGAGUAUGAAACAGAUGACAAAUGCUCAUUAUAUAGUUUGUUAUUGUCAAGAAUCAAUAUUAUAUUAAAUGACCAAUAAUAUUUUAAAUGUCUGGUCUGGUGCAUGACAGUAAUCUGUUAAACAUUGGGAUGUUAGCACACGUGUUUAAGCUAGCUAGCUAGCUAGCAUUGUUCACUCAGCGAGACACCUGCUCUCUCCACAGAACCUCCUGGCACCACAGCUAAAUCUUUCUCUCUAAAUUGCUCUCAGGGGCGUGCAGCAGGCUGAUAACUGGACAGUUGUGGUCCACCAUAGGUGUAUUAAUAAACAUUUAAAGUUUCCUCUGUGUCAGAGUCUGCAUUAAAAUCCAUAUUUUUCUCUGGGUCAAGCCAACAGGACUCCCACUGCCUCCCCCUGUCUGGUUUUGCAGAAAAAAAUGUUUUUCUCAUAAAAACGACUCAGUGCCUAACUAAUUUAUUUAUGUGUACAUUUUUAUUUAGAACGAGUUCCUAUUUGUUCACAGGAGGCUCUAACCUGCAAUAUGCUCUUAAAGAAUAUUUGCCUUAUUUUAAAGAGCAAGUCACCCCUUACAAGAAGCGUACCUCACUCCCACUUCAUGUUUCAAAAAUGCAACAAAUGCUGUUGCCUAGCAGACCGAGAGGGUGGAGCCACUAACAAAUACACACACUCAUGACAUUGUGACAUCAUAAUGUACCAGUUUACAUCAUAGUAUACCUCUUAGCCAAUAGCGGUGGCAGAUUUAAAUUCAAAUGCAGUGAAGAGUUUUUACCUGACAAUGGCACAGCACUGACAGUUUCAGGCAGAAAAUUUAAAUUUUAACUAAAAUGCACUAAAGUGCAAAACUAUUGACUACACGUGUCUGCAGCACGAUUAGACACGCAUUUAUAUAGUUUAUCUAAAAAAAUAGUUGGUUUGGGGGUGACUUGCUCUUUAAAUAAUAGAAUAUUUUUUCUGUUUAGACUAAAAAUAUAUGAAAAUGUCUAAAAAUUAGGCUUUUUUAAAACUUUCUUAGAAAUCAGUUUUUGCAAUGUAUCCAUUUAUUACAGCGCAUAGGAAAAAGGGCAUCUAAGACAAAGGAGGCAGGUGCUAAAGCACUCAGUUUUUUUUUUAAAUAUGUCCUUAUGCAAAUAUCUGUCCAGAGACUGCAGGUGGCUUAUAACAAUGCAUUAAGACUUCUGGUUAAAAAAAAAAAAAAAAAAAAAAAAAAUCCCAGAUGUGAACUGUUUGUUUCUGCCGGGGUCAGCACAUU